AAAGAAACCAACAGGGAUUGCCCUAGUACGGCGAGUGAAGCGGCAACAGCUCAAAUUUGAAAUCUGGCCCUCGGGUCCGAGUUGUAAUUUGUAGAGGAUGCUUUUGGUGAGGUGCCUUCCGAGUUCCCUGGAACGGGACGCCAUAGAGGGUGAGAGCCCCGUCUGGUUGGACACCGAACCUCUGUAAAGCUCCUUCGACGAGUCGAGUAGUUUGGGAAUGCUGCUCUAAAUGGGAGGUAUAUGUCUUCUAAAGCUAAAUACCGGCCAGAGACCGAUAGCGCACAAGUAGAGUGAUCGAAAGAUGAAAAGCACUUUGAAAAGAGAGUUAAAAAGUACGUGAAAUUGUUGAAAGGGAAGCGCUUAUGACCAGACUUGGGCUUGGUUGAUCAUCCUGGGUUCUCCCUGGUGCACUCUUCCAGUUCAGGCCAGCAUCAGUUCGCUGCGGGGGAUAAAAGCUUUAGGAAUGUGGCUCCUUCGGGAGUGUUAUAGCCUAUUGCAUAAUACCCUGCUCCGGACUGAGGUUCGCGCAUCUGCAAGGAUGCUGGCGUAAUGGUCAUCAGCGACCCGUCUUGAAACACGGACCAAGGAGUCGUCUUCGUAUGCGAGUGUUCGGGUGUUAAACCCCUACGCGUAAUGAAAGUGAACGCAGGUGAGAGCUUCGGCGCAUCAUCGACCGAUCCUGAUGUUCUCGGAUGGAUUUGAGUAAGAGCAUACGGGGCCGGACCCGAAAGAAGGUGAACUAUGCCUGUAUAGGGUGAAGCCAGAGGAAACUCUGGUGGAGGCUCGCAGCGGUUCUGACGUGCAAAUCGAUCGUCAAAUAUGGGCAUGGGGCGAAAGACUAUCGAACCUUCUAGUAGCUGGUUUCCGCCGAAGUUUCCCUCAGGA
This 885-nucleotide ribosomal RNA is filed under the name Calonectria reteaudii. RNAcentral's name for it is "eukaryotic LSU rRNA". It matches the Rfam family "Eukaryotic large subunit ribosomal RNA", at positions 58 to 978 of the family's 3401-position model. The record is from RNAcentral. Lineage: Eukaryota; Fungi; Ascomycota; Sordariomycetes; Hypocreales; Nectriaceae.